UCAAACCUGGCCUGACAGCUGAAGGAGUUUCCAGUGAGCAAACAGUAGGUUGCUUUCCUACAAUGCCUUUCUAUUAUAUCAAAUAUACAAGAAUGUUCUUAAUGCUUUAAAUGUGCAGAAAUGAAAAGCAAACAGAAGACACACUCUUGGUCUGCAUCGCUCUGUGCCUUCGUGAAAAAUAAGGCAUUGACUUUCCAGUUUGCAGAAUGGAUUACAACAUCCAUAAAUGGUUUUUAAUGCCUAAUCUUAUGUUCUUAUCCCAGGGCCACUGUCAACAAGAGUCUUGGCAUCAUGAAGUGCUCGCAAGUACAUCACUGAAUCUAAAAUUUGAAAAAGGAAGGAAGGAAGGAAGGAAAAGAAAAGAAAAGAAAAGAAAGAAAGAAAGAAAGAGAGAAAGAAAGAAAGAAAGAAAGAGAGAAAGAAAGAAAGAAAGAAAGAGAGAAAGAAAGAAAGAAAGAAAGAGAGAAAGAAAGAAAGAAAGAAAGAGAGAAAGAAAGAAAGAAAGAAAGAGAGAAAGAAAGAAAGAAAGAAAGAGAGAAAGAAAGAAAGAAAGAAAGAAAGGGCUCCCAUUCAUCCCCUGGAAUCAUGUCAUCCAAUCAACUAAAUUCAUAAACAAAACUGAACAGAAAGGAUACAGGAUCCAUCAAGUAAGGAAGGAUGAAUGAUGUAAGCUGUUCCUCAAGGGCUUUACCUUGAUGAUUUUUGCUUCCUUUACUCACAUCAAGAAGAGAUACGGAAAAAAGCUUGAUGUGAGAUUUGAUAGUCAUAUAGCCACGUAUUAACUCCUUAUGUAUUCCACUUCUCCUUUCACUUCUUGACCUCAUAUUUUUGAAUACUGAUUUGAUAAAAUAAGCAAAUGUACUGUGUUUCAAUGGGGUUAAAGACUCAUUAGUUCUAUAUCCACCCAAGUUCUCUCUCUCUCUCUCUCUCCCUUUUUAAAUCAAUUAAUAUUGCAAUUCUAUAGAUGUCUAUUCAGAAGUAAAUAUCAUUAGGUUAUUCCUUGGCAAGAGAAUACAGGAUGGAUUGCAGCCUGUGAGACAAAGUAACUAUGAAAAGCAAUUUUAACCUUCUACCUGUUCACAGUCCAGGCAACAUGCAGUUUCAAGCUAAAAAGCCACAUUUCUGUAACUCAUUAUAUUGUUCUACAAGUCACAGCUGACAGGUGUCACUUUAAACAUGAUGACAUUUAGCCGAAAUCAGUGGGUUACUCUAGAGUUUUAUAUCUAUGAGGUCCAACAGUAAGAUGUCAAUCACAACUGUGCUUUUAUUCAUUGACUAAACACUCUGAAUGGCAAUAGCAGAUUUGCUUCUCUAUCUGCAUCUCCUGGUUAUUUAAAUCUCUGGAAAAACCCUUGACUAAGCCAAACUCAUAAACCAACUGGGCAUAACAGCAAUCAGAUGGCUGCAAAGGAAAAAGCCAUCUGGUGUAUGUGCCCUACAGCUUCUCCUUUAUUUGUCAUGGCUCCAUUUUAUGGAAUUCUUCAAAUAACCAUGGUGCCUCUCUACAUUACAGAAUUAAAUUGAUUUAUCCCCAUCUUUUCACAGUGCCUUCUAUGUAGCUUACCAAAUUACAGCACCUAGGAUCCCCAAGGAUGGAGCCCUGGUAAAUGAAGUGACAUAAAAGUGAUAUGAAUAUAAAAUAUACAUAUGCCUUUAUCAUCUUUU
Pogona vitticeps (central bearded dragon) is the source of this 1665-nucleotide long non-coding RNA. The record is from Ensembl. Lineage: Eukaryota; Metazoa; Chordata; Lepidosauria; Squamata; Agamidae.